Schistocerca gregaria is the source of this 212-nucleotide long non-coding RNA. RefSeq lists it as uncharacterized. The transcript has 3 exons. The record is from RefSeq and is a predicted model, not a curated record. Lineage: Eukaryota; Metazoa; Arthropoda; Insecta; Orthoptera; Acrididae.
GUUUUGUUUUGUGUAUAUAAAAGCGUCUCCACACCAUCCAACGAACUUUGCAGAUGACAUGAUGUUCGUGAAUAAAAACGGUGACAUAAGCACGGAGUAUACAUGUUGCAGACAGCAAAAAUAAUGCUCAAAAACAUUAUGUAACUUGCAAUAAAUAAGAUUAGAAAAGCCCACUGAUGAUGGUGAUAUUUGUCGCCGAAACUAGUAUGGGA